RNAcentral lists this long non-coding RNA (234 nucleotides) under Elaeis guineensis (African oil palm). RNAcentral's name for it is "long non-coding RNA (EGUI_LNC061975)". Lineage: Eukaryota; Viridiplantae; Streptophyta; Magnoliopsida; Arecales; Arecaceae. The record is from RNAcentral.
GGAUAUGAUAUAUGGCAUACAUAAAAUCUUAAAAUAAAAUCUGCAUGCAUAGAUGUAAAUAGUAGAUCAAAUUUACAUCUAUCUGAGUAUAGAACUCGAUACUUAAGCACAGAUCGAUGAUCGCCGCUAUUGAGAAACCUAGUAAAGAGAUCCUCGCUAGUUGCUCGCAGCUACAUAGGGUGUCCGGUCUUUACAGAUAGUCCUUCAAAGCUCCAAUCUGAUCAACCUUCUCAU